GAUGAACGCUGGCGGCGUGCCUAAUACAUGCAAGUCGAGCGAACAGACGAGGAGCUUGCUCCUCUGACGUUAGCGGCGGACGGGUGAGUAACACGUGGAUAACCUACCUAUAAGACUGGGAUAACUUCGGGAAACCGGAGCUAAUACCGGAUAAUAUAUUGAACCGCAUGGUUCAAUAGUGAAAGACGGUUUUGCUGUCACUUAUAGAUGGAUCCGCGCCGCAUUAGCUAGUUGGUAAGGUAACGGCUUACGAAGGCAACGAUGCGUAGCCGACCUGAGAGAGUGAUCGGCCACACUGGAACUGAGACACGGUCCAGACUCCUACGGGAGGCAGCAGUAGGGAAUCUUCCGCAAUGGGCGAAAGCCUGACGGAGCAACGCCGCGUGAGUGAUGAAGGUCUUCGGAUCGUAAAACUCUGUUAUUAGGGAAGAACAAAUGUGUAAGUAACUAUGCACGUCUUGACGGUACCUAAUCAGAAAGCCACGGCUAACUACGUG
Molecule: ribosomal RNA, 497 nt
Filed under: uncultured bacterium
Lineage: Bacteria
Description: partial 16S ribosomal RNA
Rfam family: Bacterial small subunit ribosomal RNA
Source: RNAcentral